RNAcentral lists this ribosomal RNA (433 nucleotides) under uncultured bacterium. RNAcentral's name for it is "bacterial SSU rRNA". It matches the Rfam family "Bacterial small subunit ribosomal RNA", at positions 29 to 507 of the family's 1533-position model. The record is from RNAcentral.
AGCGAACGCUGGCGGCAGGCCUAAUACAUGCAAGUCGAGCGGUCCCUUCGGGGGCAGCGGCGGACGGGUGAGUAACGCGUGGGAACGUGCCCUUUGGUACGGAACAACUGAGGGAAACUUCAGCUAAUACCGUAUGUGCCCUUCGGGGGAAAGAUUCAUCGCCAUUGGAGCGGCCCGCGUUAGAUUAGCUAGUUGGUAGGGUAAUGGCCUACCAAGGCGACGAUCUAUAGCUGGUCUGAGAGGAUGAUCAGCCACACUGGGACUGAGACACGGCCCAGACUCCUACGGGAGGCAGCAGUAGGGAAUCUUGCGCAAUGGGCGAAAGCCUGACGCAGCCAUGCCGCGUGAAUGAUGAAGGUCUUAGGAUUGUAAAAUUCUUUCACCGGGGACGAUUAUGACGGUACCCGGAGAAGAAGNCCCGGCUAACUUCGUG